AAUUUUAAGGUCAAGCUAUAAAGGGCGCAUGGUGAAUGCCUUGGCACUAGGAGCCGAAGAAGGACGCGAUAAGCUGCGAUAAGCCUUGGGUAGCCGCAAAUAG
Molecule: ribosomal RNA, 103 nt
Filed under: Clostridium botulinum
Lineage: Bacteria; Bacillati; Bacillota; Clostridia; Eubacteriales; Clostridiaceae
Description: partial 23S ribosomal RNA
Rfam family: Bacterial large subunit ribosomal RNA
Source: RNAcentral